AGAUGCCAAAUGCCCUUCUCCCAUGUGCUGUGCUUGCUUUGGUUGGAGGAAUAUGAAGGAUGGCAUUGUCCUGGAGGCAUGCAAGAUGGCAGGCGGUCAGUUCAUUUUACACAAACAGAUAAGGUAUCACAUUGACACAGCUCCUGGAGCAGCUUGUCAUUAAACCUAGAUGGAUGGUUUUCCCACCAGAUGUUGCCUUUUUGCCAUUUGCCAGAAACUCCUUUACUCUUCAUCAGUUUACAUCCAGGAAAGCUGUGCUCGUCUGCACAUCUAUUGAGUGAUUAUAAAGUCAUGAAAUCAAUUUCAUAAACCCCAAAUGAAAAUCACUGUUAUGAUUUUAUUAUCAUAUCAUAUACUGGGGGGAAAGUCUCACUUCUCUUAUUAUAGUAUUCCCCAACAUAAAAGUUUAUUCACUGAUCAAGCAUUAUUCCACAAGCACUUUAAAGUAAUCAUUUCCUAGAGGUAGAAACUGGAAUUGUUUAAAGAUGUCAUAGAAUUAAGUAGUAUUUAUAAAACUUUUCUCUUAGUUGCUGUAGAACAAAGACCCAGUAAAUCUUAAUAGAGCGGCUCCUAUUGGAAACCUCACCAAUUAGUAUUUCUGGGAAGGCAUAAAAAAUUUGAGGGCAAAACCCUUGUCUGGGUAUUUUAUAUUUCACAUAUAAGGUGUGUAUAUCAUGUAUUUUAUGUACUUCAUGUGACCAGAAAAUUCUACUGGAAAAGAAAUAAAUUUGGUGAGGAAAGGUAGUGGGGAGAGAUGUUGCAGAAACAAGGAUAUUAUAAAGAAAAGAGGGGAGGUCCCAUUUUUUUAUAGAGUAGGAAAGAGAAGAGAAGGGAAUAGAUUCCAGGCAAGAAAAAAAUAUGGACCACAGGGCAUGACAGGUAUAAAAAUGGGAGUGUAAGAUUGAGUAUGGUACGAACACUCGUCAAAUGCUAAAAAGACAAGUAACUAAAAGGCAUUUGGUGGAAAAAAAUCAGAGCACCAAAGAGUCUGGCUGGUCUUUAUUUUAUUUAGUUCACAGGUUGUUCUUUAGCAUAGACAAUCCAGGACCUGUUUGGCGCUGCCAUCCAAAGUCAUUCAUUAAUAUUCUCCAGCUGCUCCCAAAUUCCCAAGCCAGCUGCAUCUUUCACAUCUAUUUUUCUCCAAUUCCUUCCUCUCUUAGAAUUUUCCUGGUCACACUACAGUGGGGGCUCAGAUUUUAGGCAUUAAGAGUGCUCUUUAACAGAGAAAGAUAAUUAUAGCUCUACAGACUCUGGGGAAAAUAAUUGUCGACAGAUUCUCACCAACACUGUUUCCCCCUCGGUGAGAACAACAAACGGGUAGGAAAAAAACAACUACGGCACUGACUUGUUGCUUUUCUCAAGUGAUCGUACUUAGCAGGAGGAAAACCACAUGAAGCAGAAACCAGAAUAAAGGGCCUACAUCACGACUGAGGGUGCUUUCUUGACAAGAAAUUAAGCAUUUUGAUUUGAAGGUGUUAUCAAGCACGUUGGCUGUUGAAGGCAAGAGCUACAGCGCCAGGACCGCUCCUGAUUUCAAGAUGAGGAUCAAAAGAAUACCUCCUUUUGAGUCCAAAAUUUUCACUGCAGCUUUUGUCUUUGUGCCAAGAACUGCAUUCACAGGGGAGUUCAGAAUUACUUCAAAGACCUCAUCAUCUUCCUCUAAUCCGUCAUAGGUAAUUGCUAUAUUCCACAUCUUAGUUGACAUUCCUACAAGAAGUAAACAUUUUAAUUACUCUUUAAUUGCUAUUUCAAUCACCUAGGUGUCAGAGAAAUAUAUUAAUUAACAUGUCUACAGCUAGACUGCAGUAGCCCGAGUGAGCUAUUGUACUGCUACCAACUCACUGAAGUCCUGCUGUUCUCCCAAAUAAUAUGAAAAGACCACAUUUGUUCCUGGACGAUGAUGUUUCCGUUUAAAUGCAAACACUGUAACAAAAAAGUAAGCUGCAGUAUGCAAGGGAUAAAAAAAAAAUGGUUAUUAGAUGAGAUCCAAGACUUAAUUAUUUUCCCAACCUGUCCCUUCUCUUCUGAAGAGUAAACAAGUAUUGCAAUCUCAAAAUCUUAAUAGUUUAAAAAAUCUUAAGCUGUUGAUGCAGACAGAAGUGAUUAUUGGAUGGUACUUCAUGCUAUUCAUGGAACCCUUGAAAUGAUUGAUUUCUUAAUCAUUUCUAAAGACAGCUGCCUGCAUCGGCUUCCCCACUUCCUGAGAUCUUUCUAGCCCACAAAUGCUUUUUCUGAUGAUAUAAUACUCAGUAGUUUGAUAUCCUCCUAGAGAGAAUUUAUGGGCUGGGGGUUCUAGAAAUAAAGCCAAUUUUUUCCCUCUUUCUGGCUGCCUCUAUUCAUGAAGUUACAAUCAAGCUUGGUUCACAGUAACUUUGUGAACUUAAUAUUAUACAAAACAGUUUUGACCUUACAAACAUAUCCCAGCCAUCCUGUCAACACCAAGACUGGAAACAAAGCAACCCCAGAUACACAAAAUAUUAAGACUGCAAGAAGAAACUUCUGAGAUGAUCUCAUCCUGACCAGUUUCUAUGAUGUGGAUCAUAGGAUAUCCCCUGAGUUUACUUAGAAGAACAAGUGGUGGAAGGAAGUAAAGGGAAUACUUUUAAGUGGAGAAAGAAGGCUCAACUUUAAGAGGAAUAAACACAGUAAACUUAUCGAUUUAACUUUUCUUAGCUGAGAUGGAAAAGCUUACUCUGCCAUUUGCUCAUUGGCUAUUUGAGUGCUUUUACUCCUUUAAGCCCCUCUAUAUGAUACAGUUAAACUUUUUAAAAAGUCUUCUCUUAAAAAUGUAACUCUUGGCCGGGUGCAGUGGUAAACAACUGUAAUCCCAGCACUUUGGCAGGCCAAGGCGGGCAGAUCACUUGAGCUCAGGAGUUUGAGACCAACCUGGCCAACAGAGCAAAACCCCAUCUCUACAAUAAAACAAAAACAAAAACAAAAAUUAGGUGGGCGUGGUGGCACGUGCCUGUGAUCUCAACCACUCAGGAGGCUGAGGUGGGAGGAUCGCUUGAGCCCAGAAGGUCAAGGCUGCAGUGAGCCCAGGAUGUGUCACUGCACUCCAGCCUGGGCAACAGAGUGAGACCUUGUCCCCAUCUCCAAAAAACGACUCUUUUAUCUUGCAGAUUGCCUUCUACAGACUUAUACCUCUCAACUGUCCAUCUAUAUGGUGGCCUCUUUCUUGAAGGUAUGCCUCACAUAGAUCUCAUGAUCUAAUCAGUCUCUUCAAUCCUCAACAGAAGUCAAUGGAAAGGUGAAGCUAUCCACUUCUUCUACUUUUGGCUGGCUGCACUUAGAGGGGAAAAAAUUAGGUGUACUUGGAAUAAAUAGAUUUUAUUCAAAAACAGGCUGACAGCUAAUUUAUUAAGCUUCCAGUACUGAGUUUUUAAACCAAUUACGUUCACAGUCUUUGCAAAAGCAGAAGUUGAAGCAUCUAGUAUGUAUAAUAAUACCAUACAAUUCCCAUCUCAUGGAUGGAUAAAUCAAUACAUCAAAAUAUAUAUUUUGUACUUAUGAUAUGCUUAUCUUUGCAUUAGAUGCUAUGGAGAAUACCAGAGGUGUAACAUAAGCCAAGCCCUGAUCUAAGGGAGCUUAAAAUCUUUUGGGGGAGACAGAAGCAAAACCAGAAAAGUCAAAUAAUUAUUGAAAGCUAUGUAUGUUUACCUACUAAAAGAUACAGAAUAGAUUGUAGAGCCUAUAUAAAUGUGGGCUUUAGAAGUGAAAGGAUUAGGAGGGAGGAAACAGGAAAACAACAUAAGUAAAGACAGGAAGAUAGCAAAGCAGAGGUCUUGACUCGGGAAGGGUGAGUGAAUUAGCUGGCUGGAAUAGAGAGGUUACAUGGGUGGACAGGAGGCCAUAAGGCUGCAAAGAUUAUUUGUAGCCAGACUGCAGAGAGCCCUGGGCACCUGGCCAGAUUCAGACUUUACAACAUAGGCAAGAGGGAAGGGUCUUGAACAAAGAAGUCACACACUGAAAGUGGAUUAGCAAAAUGAACCUGAGAGUGUUAUGUGAGAAAGUCUGGAGAUCCAGGCAGAUAGACAGAUAGGCUAGAAGUUUGAAGACCACAUAGACAGCUGCUGUAAUACAAUUGGCAUGAAAAGAUAAGAGGUGGUCAAUGAAGAAAGCAUAUGAAUAAUAUGAUUAUUAGUACUUGGAGAACUGUUUUGACCCUCAAAGACCAUAAAGUUAAGCAUCAUGUAAAUAAAAUCCAAUACAGAAAAUAUUUCCAACUCCCAACCGACUCUCUGAUUUUAAGGUUAAUUUUUUAAAAUUAUAGUACCCCCCAAACAAACAAACAAACAAACAAAAAACAAAAAACUUAAGGUUUUUGUUGGACCUUACGGAGUAGAACCAGAUGGUUAGGGGUUGGAGAAAAUAUCUUUUGAGUUUCAUUUAAGUGCUUCUGAUUUGUUUGUGUGCAUUCCAACUUGGUUUCUAUGCCUUCCAGGUGUGCACAGAGGACUAACUCUUUAGGUUAAUGAGAUUGGAAGUCAAAACUUUAUCAUUUUUUCCCUUCCUCUUUCACUUUCAAGGUGCAAAGUAUUUGCUAAGUCCCUGAGAUAUACAAGCAUUUUCAGAAGGCUUGGACUGGCUCCCUGUUCCCACAAAACAAAAGGUGCUGAAGAGAAAACAGAGGUGUCAUUUUAUGCAGACAUAUUCCACUUUACAGAGUAGGUGUAGUAUAUUUGAGAAGAUCUUUCUACGCAGAGACUGUGAUUGCUUAAACUGUACACAAACACCUGGAAGAAAAAUAAGAGAUGUAGUCAAUCACUUGGGAAUUUUGCCUGCAAGAAGCCACACAGCUAUAUGCCUGGCAUCAUGUAAAUGUCCAGAUCCAGGAGCCCAUGAGAGAAAUUCGUAAAGUUCUAGAUGUGUAGGUGUCAUGUAGAUAAGGAUUGGUUCAUAUCUUCCCAUUUUAACAGUGCUUCCAGUUUCCUGUCACCAUUGAGUGACGCUCAUUUUACAGUCAGAACUGUAUGCCAUGGACACAUUUUAUGUGUAACCCAUGUGGCAAUCGCUUCAAGUCAUUUAGCAGGAGGGGAAAACUCCCUAAGCCUCUAAGUCAGGCUUUCCCACCCAUUUUGGACCAGACAAUUCUUUGUUGCGGGAGGCUGUCCUGUGUGGGAAUGAUGUUUAGCAGCACCUCUGUCCUCCUCGCAUUAGAUGUAGGAGCACCACUUCCCUCCAGUCACGACAGCCAAAACUGUUUCGGGACCUUGACAAAUGCUCC
This 5227-nucleotide long non-coding RNA is filed under the name Homo sapiens (human). Its description in RNAcentral is "HSALNT0146923". The record is from RNAcentral. Lineage: Eukaryota; Metazoa; Chordata; Mammalia; Primates; Hominidae.